GUGCCCAUUUUGGCAGCAUGUAUACUUAAAUAGGAAUGAUACAAAGAACAUUAGCAUGGCCCCUGCUCAAGGAUGACAUGCAAAUUGGUGAAGCAUUUCAUAUUUUU
This is a small nuclear RNA of Capra hircus (goat), 107 nucleotides long. Lineage: Eukaryota; Metazoa; Chordata; Mammalia; Artiodactyla; Bovidae. The record is from Ensembl.